AAAUAUAUAUAUUUUUUAAUCUAGUGAGACAGAAGUUUCAUGGGCAACUUGAUUCCAAAGUAGUAGAUGUUUGGAAAGGCAGAAUGUGAGUCUGGCCUUUCUGGCUGUUGGAUUUGGACUAUUAAGCACCUACUGGGCUUUAUAUGAGGCACUAUGUGAGGAACAGAGAACAACAUGAUGAGCACUUCAGGUCAAGGUAGACAGACAGCAGACGUACAGAGACAGACCAGCCCCCCAAAACUGUGAUCACUCUGCGUAUGGCUGGGCGGGCAGCCAUGAUGAGGGGUGUGGGGAGGUGGCGAACUCUGGACACACCGCACUGAAGAGAAGCUGUAUCUGUCCCUUUUUUCACCACUCUAACAAAAGUGCCUUAAAGAAGGUUUGCCUUGGCUUACUAUGGGAGGCAAGGCCCAUAUUGGAGGGCAAGUCAGGCCCUGGAAGGGAAAGGCCAUUUCCGUCCCCAGUCCGGAAGCUGAGAGAAGAAUGCUCUCCUCCUUGCUUUCCCUUUCUUUUCAGGCCAGGACCCCCACUCACGGAUAGCGCCUCCCACACUCAGAGUAGGUCUUCCUUUCUCAGUUAAGCCUCUCUGAAAAUGAAAAACACCCUUCACAGACACACCCAGAGGUGCGUUCCCAUGGAGAUUCUAAAUGCAGUCAAGUUGACAAAGAAGAUUAGCAACCACAGAUUCCAACAUGAAGGAACAGCUAGCAAAGGCCAAGGACGGAUGCCGCGGGGAUAAGAGCAUAGUGAUGGAGGUGCCUGAGGCCCGUGUGAUUCCUGAUUUAGCUGCAUGAGCUGUUGGCGGCAACUCCUCACUGAGGGCCUGUGACACAGGAUUAUCACUUUUAUGAAGCCCUGUGCCUGGAGAAAGAAGACAAAAAAAAAGACAUUCAUCAGAAUUCCGUUUCCCAGAGGCUGAGUAUCCACCCUGGAGUGUGGCUGUGUGAGGAAAACAGAGCCAGUUCACUGUUGUUUCAAUGUUUAGCCUUGGUCUUUGCGGGGAAGAGGCAACUGUGGCUGUGGCUGCAUAUGUUUGCCACGUGUUCUUGAUUCCUGGCCAUGAGGAGGCAUUCUGGAGCAAAUAGAAGGGCUACAUGGAAGAAGGAACAGUGUAACCACCUCUGAUAUAACCACAGCAUUGGGCUCUAUGGAAGAAGGAACAGUGUAACCGCCUCUGAUAUAACCACAGCAUCGGGCUCUAUGGAAGAAGGAACAGUGUAACCGCCUCUGAUGUAACCACAGCAUCAUUACUGAACCUGCAUCGUGCCCAUCUUGAGUCAGACGCUGUGCCUAGUGUUUCCUAAAGCAUUGUGUCUGGUUCCCAAAACAACCUGAGGUAAGUGUGCUUGUCCCUGCCCUUGAGAUGGAGAAGCUGGGGUUGCAUGGACUAUAACUGUAUCUUCCUCCUGAAGGGCAGGCCCUCUUUCCGAGUCUUAGUGAGUGCCGACAUGUUAAGCCCAGCAUGUACAAAAUUUCUCUCUACCUCUGUUCUCCUCACUCUGAAUUCUUCCCAGUGAACAGCUGCAGACUUAAACCUUGUUUUAGUUUACUUCCAAUCACCGUAAGAAAGACCAUGACCUAAAGCAACCUGGGAAGGAAAGGGUUUAUUUGGCUUAUGCAUCCAGAUCACUGUCCAUCAUUGAGGGAAUCAAAUCAGGAACUUAAGCAGGGCAGGAAUCUGGAGGCAGGAACUGAAGCAGAGACCAUGGCUUGUUCCCCAUGGCUUGCUCAGCCUGCUUCUUAUAUAGCCCAGGACCACCAACCCAGGGAUAUCACUGCCCAUGGUGGGUUGUCUCCCUACCCCCAAUCAUUAACCAAGAAAAUACCACACAGACAUACCCAUAGGCCUAGCUGAUGGAGGCAUUUUCUCCACCCAAGUCCCCUCUUCCCAGAUGACCCAAGAAGGUUGUGUCAAGGUGACAAGAAUUCACAGCGCAAGCCUCUUAGAUCCAGGGGGUAAUCUGGGACUACCCUGCUCCAAAUUCUUCACUAGUUCCUCUGUGCUCAAACAGCUAUGUACAAAAGUCCUCACCUUGGCAUCCCAAGUUCCUUUCCACUCCUUUAAUAAACCUGGCUUUAUUGCCUAUUCUCUCAAACCCCAGCCAGCUGCUCACACCCCAUCUCAGCUGCCUGCUCCUGCUCUUCCUCUUGCUGUUCACAUCUGCUCACUCGUUAACAUCUGCUUACCCGUUGACAUCCCACGGACCUCAGGGUAGACUGGCCAGACUUUCCCUGUCACUUGCUUUUCGUCCCUCAGUCGGAAUAUUCCUCUUGGUCUUGCAGCCCUGACUGAAUUUGUGUGCGUCCCUGUGACCCUCUGUGCUUGCCUUUCCCAACCCCAUGAAACGGUAAACUCCCCGACAGUGAGCUGUUUCCUCCUCCCCUUUGCUCCCCCUAAGGAAGAAACAGGAGGAAACAGCUAUCUGAGAUCUUUGAAUUGAUGGUAGCACUUCCCCUCCUCAGAGCACCAGACUCAAGCAAUUCAUGUUGAGAUACAGAGUUCAGCCUGGGAACAGAAUAGAAUUGCACCUUGCACGAGCUUAAGGCCACGCUCCUCUUUCAUCCUGCAUCCUUGACCUGGAGAAGCUGAGAAAGACAAUUACUGUAAUUCACUGUGUGAGAGUAAGACAAGGUCCUGGGACAAGGGCGUAGCUAAUCAAGACUCUGGGAAGCUGUUUCAUUUUACACAGGCUUUGCCUGAAACUGGGAGACAGUGUUUGAUGGGCAGGUAAGACGUUGUACUUGCUCUGUAGAGUCAUUGUGAAGCCUUUCAUAGUUCCAAGUGGAAGGUGGUUAGGGAUAAACACAAGGCAGAUGACAGAGUGUGCAUUGUGUAGUGUACACACACUUGUGUACAUAUGGUAUGUCCACAGUGGCUCUCGGCCUGUGAAGGGUGUAUGCUGUCUUAUUCCUGACUUUCAGCCCACUGGCACAGGAGGGAUCAGGGGUUGUCAUGGGCUUUAGGGUCCCCUCCACACAGUUCUACUGAGCACUCAGUCACACAAGAACCCCGAGGCACAUGAGAGGCCAUACACUUUGCUUCUGUCAUAAUUUUUUUUUUCCUGAAAGAGAAAAAAGCUUGUGUUUGUAUAAUUUUCUCCUUUGCUUUGGCCUACUUCAGGCUGUCAGCCUGGUCCAGUCAUCUUCUUUCCAAAUUAAUAUACAUGUCAUCACCCCUCUUUAAAAGUAAAGUCCAGUCUGCCAGCUCCAAUGCCCUUAAAAACUGUUACAGAACUGGCUCAGCUUCUGCCCUUUUGGUAAAGGGUCCAAUUCAUUUGAUUACUGUUCAAAACCUUGGCAUCAUUUGUAAUUCUUCUGAUUUGAUAGUUGCCAGCCCUACAGACCUAGUGUGUGUUUGUGUGUGAGUGCGUGUAUAUGCACACUAAGCCCAUUAUCUUAUGCAUACAUACAUACAUGCUGGCCUAGCUCAGCUACAUCCCUGGCCUUUUGUUACUUGAGUUCUUACCAAGCUGACCUUUGAACUUACUGUUUGUCUUGAUUUGGUUUUUUUGGUUGGUCAUGGUGCUAUUGAAUCCAGGCCUUGCACAUGCUCGGCAAAUGGUCUAUCACUGGUCUAUAGCCCUGGCCCUCAAAUCCCUUCUUCAAUCAAAACUUCCUAGCAUUUCUUUGGUUGCAGCUUCCAACAUCUAUUUCCAAAGCCAAGUUUAGCUUAAACUCAUCACUUAGGAAUUGGGGAAAGGGUUGAGUUGGGAGAGUUAUUAUCUUUCCAAAACACAGUCCGCCUCUUCUACCUUAUGAUUUUAGCUGCUUCUGGGGAGCUAGGGACGAUAGCACGAAAAACCCUAUGGGUGCACUUGUACACACUGCUUAGCAUCACUCAGUCCAGCCCUUGCUUCAUGGACACUCACAAUCACCUCCAACCAAUUCCUUUGGCUUCUACUUCCCCUACCUGCUGUUCUGAAAAAACUGCUUCUGACCUGGGACCUUCCACCAAAUAUUCUUCAGCUCCUCCUCGCUGAUCUCAGGUCAAGUCCAAGAUCGACUCUGUAAUCAGAUAUCUCCUAGUGUCUGCUGCAAACCUGGCCACCCCGGCAGCCUCCUUGCUUUCAUCCCUUCUCAUUCCACAAACUCCAACUCUCUGCCCAGGACAGUAAGUGGUGCCCUCUGUGCUCCAUUUAGUCUGUGUCCUCUCCCAAGCCUCUGCCUCCAGCCUAGAUCUCUUCCCACCCAGACACUUCACUGUCCAACUACUUGCUACAUGACUUACGGAUUUAAAGCGUCCAGCUCUAUGUCACCACCCCAAACCCAACCUCAUCCACUCAAUCUAGACACCUGGGGGUCAUCCUUUCCUAUCUGACCCCAACCCCUAUGCACAUCCGGUAAACCAUCAAGUCAUCUCAUGUAUAUCUUACUUCCGUACAUGAGCUCUGUCUCCCAUCUUGGGAGCAGACCCAGUUUCCCACUCCUUUUCUUCUGGUCUCCUGGGUCCCACUUUGCCCUGUGUAAUCAGUUCGUCCUCUACAUUGCCAACAAUGUAGUUGUUUCUAGAAUACAACUCUAGAUCCCCUCACAGGCUCUCCUCCUGCCACCUGCAGAGUUCAGAAUAGUGUCCCCCGGCUUCCUGAACCACCUCUUCUUAGGGUUCUCACCUCCUGAACCUUGCUCCCCAUGCUUAGAACAAUUUCAUUUCUUUGUUUUGGUUAACUUCUGGCUCCUUGGUGAUCGAAUGCCUUCAUCCAGAACCUUCCCUCUCCUACUCACCUGGGAGCUAUGGAUUCUAAACACCUCUUCUGUGUCUACUAUUGUCUCGACAAUAUUUACCAUUAUCAUGAGGUUUGGAGUUUUGCUUUUACCUUUGAUUCUCCCUGCUUGUGACUCUUCCUGGGGACUUGAUUUCUAUUCAUCCCAGAUAGAGAGGGUAAUAUAAGAAUGAAGAAAUGAUUUCAUGAAAGUUUAAGGUGGUAGAACAGUCAGUUUAAUUGGAGUUACUUCCAGGGUCAUGGGCACCUGGCAGGCGGCUAUACCACUCUAUGGCUUGGCACUCAAAUCGUGUCUUGAAGGAGAUGCUAUCUCUUCUAGAUCUAACCUCCUCUAGAACAAAUACACCCUUAGGGCAGAGACCAAAUGCUUUCCUAAAAGACAAGCACACUGGAGGCCUUUAGUAAGUUUGCUUUGUUCAUACAUAGGUCAACUGUCCUGGACCAAGGGAGUCCUGGGAGGUAGGACUUAAGUGCCAGAACCUGAACAGCAAAGUCUGCCCUAUCUAUCGGCUCGUCUGUUGGUUCAGAUGUUGUGCAAACCUACUUAGUUUCCAUAGCUAAGUUUUAAGUGACAUGAGUUUUCACCUCUGUUGAUGAAUUUUGUCUCAUCCACUGAUGUACUCCAAACAGCCGACAGGGCAGAGCAUGUUGUACGUGAUUAAUGGAUAAAUUUGAAUGAAUGAAAACAUUGACCACCAUUUCUAAGCAUGAGCAAAGGUCUAGGGUAGCAAACAUCCAGGCCAUUUUGUUGUCAUCUUUCAUCAAAGCUUCUGCUCAGCAUCAACACUCAGUCACAACAUUGAGUCUUAGAUGAGAAAGACAGACAACACCAUGAUACUACAAUUAAAAAUACACUGAGGUAGGUGAAUCAUGCCUGUAAUUCUAGAACUCAGGAGGCUGAAGCAGUAGGAUUGCUGAGAGUUUAAGAGCUAUAGAGUUAAUUUCAGAAGAGUUGGGCCUGUGGAGUGAGACCCUGCCAGAAAAAAAAUGUUCCUGAUGUGACAGAAAUAACCAAGGGGCACAGAGGAGUCACAUUGGUAAGAGAGGCUGUAAGACAAGCUACACCUCACUUAUUCUCUUUCUGUUGGGUUCUUCACAUUAGGGGCCUGACACACAGGAAGUAGGCUAUGAUGAUGAAGAUUAUAUUUAUACAUACUUAUGACCCGUAGUGACUACUUCAUUCCCCCUUCCUUCUUUCUUUCUUUCCUUCCUUCCUUCUCUCUCUCUCUCUCUCUCUCUCUCUCUCUCUCUCUCUCUCUCUCUCUCUCUCUCUCUCUCUCUCUCUUUCUCUCUUGCUUGCUUGCUUUCUCCCUUGUUUCAAUAAGGUCUUGCUGCAUAGUUCAGGCUAGCCUCAACUCUCCAACCUCCCUGCCUCAGCCUCCUAAACAGUAGGAUUUUAUGAACGCACCACUGCACUGGAUUCAUACGUUUUGUGGUUGUUGGUGGUGAGGGUUUCUUUCUUUGCCUUUUGUCAUUGUUUUUGAGACAGGGUCUCACUAUGUAGCUCUGGCUGGCCUGGAACUUGCUAUGUAGUUCAGUCUGUAUUGGAACUCACAGAGAUCUGCCUGCUUCUGAUUCACGUGGUUCUGAAAAACUGAUGGCUUUUGUUAUGGAAGUCAAAAUAUAGGCUCUAAAAAUGCCCCAGUGUUUCUAACUCAUUAAUUCUGAAAACCCCUCACACUAUGAUUAUUAUUUCAUACAACUGCAGACAACAUCACACUACUGAAGAUGAAAGUCAGCUGGCUGGGUUUGAGCCUAAGCAGCCAGCCCAGGAGAGAGGACAGACGGCUGACAUUCAGCAGCUGUGUGUUUUAGAACAGCAACAGCCUCAAAGUACCAGAUGCUUCUUCAGCAACUGGCACAUGACCUGACACAAAGACACCUACAAGAGGCUCGUAGGAUUCUAUUAUAGCACGAUGACGACGACGACGACGAGUCUGCCACGCUCGGGCUUUUUACUCGUACUCUGCAAGGACAAUGGUACAUGACAUGAACUUUACGAUUCUGUCUGAUUCCUCAUCUACACAGGUCAAAGACUGAGCAAGUGCUAGCUGACACUUACGCUUUUGGCCCGUAUUGAUGGAGCACAGGCUUCCUAGCUGUGAAGAGAGAGUCAGGUGACCACCAGGAAGUUUAACACUGCAGGAUUCAGGCACGUUUUUACCUCUGCUCCCAUUCAGUCCACUUACAGGUCCCUUGUACUCCUCACCCCAAACAGAUCUCCAAUCUAACCGUUUUGAUUGUCACUGGUCUUGUGGAAAGUCCUGGUUGACCAACGCAGUAGCCCACAACAAAUUGAGUUGAAAUGAUGCACUUAAAAAAUGUUUACAAUUACAAUUAAAAAGAGAAAAAUGGUACCAGUUGAAAACUGGGACUUCUCACCUUGCCCUGCUAACAUCUCCUUCUGAAGUCACAGGAAUUCCAAUCAUCUCAACACACGGUUGCACUUACAAAGCACCCAGAUAAACCACAUGGAAUUUUAGUCCUUGAAAACCUAGAAAAGUGGCUGGAGGUGAUGGCACUUGUCUUUAAUUCUAUUGCCCUGGGAGACAGAGGUAGGAGGACUACAAGUUCAAAGCCAUCUUAGGUUAUUUUGCAAGACCCUGACUCACAAAACAAGCACCAAGUUUGGUUCGGGAAAACCAAAUUUCCAUACCUUUGAACAGCUCACAAGGCAAAGAUCUUCUUGCACAUAUCAAAUCUUUGGUAAGACAGUUUUGUUUUGUUUGAGACAGGGUCACACUAUGCAGUCCUGGAUGGCCAGGGAUGAACUAGACAGACUAGACUGGCCUGGAACGUUCAGCAGUUGCUCUGCCUUUGCCUCCCAGGUGCUAGGUUUACAGGUGUCUGCUACCUUAUAGAUGUUCACAGUGACCAAAUUUCUGUCUAGGACCCAAAUGCUUUACUCAAGACAGAAGGUGGAAAGUAGAUUUUUGACAAACACCUGUGUGUAAAGUGCUGUCUGCAGAGGUUCAAGUGUUGUCUUUCAGGCGUCACAUUUAAAACCCAUGCCAGCCCUUCCAAGGCCGUGCACUUUUUCUUCCUACCAGCAUGUGAAUGUGGAAGUCCAGACUCUGACAGGGUAAGCGAUACGACAGGCUCACACCAUUAAUGCCAUUUAAAGUUGGGCACUUCACUGCCAGGGUUCCCAGGCUCCGGGGGAUAGCCUCACAUCCAUGCACAGAAGGGCACCAAGAACUGGGCUUAGUGGGCUGUAAAAAAAUAUUAGGUUAGGGCGCCGGAGAGAUGGCUCAGUGGUUAAGAGCACAUGCUCUUCUUUCAGAGGACCCGGGUUCAAUUCCUAGCACCCACAAGACAGCUCACAGCUGUGUGUAACUCCAAGAUCUGACACCCCCACACAGACAUACAUGCGGGUAAGACACCAAUGCACAUAAAAUAAAAAUAAACAUAAAGUUCGGUCUUGGUUUGUUUUGAGACAGGGUCACUAAUAUUACAUAUUAUCCUUCCCAAAAUGCUAACAUGAACUUGGAACCAUCCUCAUUUUUUCUUUCUUUCAGGUUUUGACUUUACCUUUUCUUUCAAACUUGGAAAACUUCUUCCCCAAGUGACCACUUCAGACACUACUCAAACAGUUGUGCUCAUUCUAACUGAAUUGCUAGGUCUUUUCUGUAGACAAAUUUUCUCAUCGGGACCCCCAGCUUACAAAUAAUGUCACAGAGACUUAUUACUAAUUAUUAAUGCUUGGCCUUAGCUUAGGCUUGCUCCUAACUAGUUCUUAUAACUUAAAUUAACUCAUAUUUUUUAAUCUAUGUUCUGGCAUGUGGUUCAUUAUCUCAUCUCCAUACUGCCCAUCCUGCUUCCUCCUCUUCUGGCUGGCAACUCUGUCUUUCUCCUUCCCAGAGCGCUCUCUGUCCCCAGAAGUCUCGCCUAACCUCUUCCUGCCUAGCUAUUGGCCCAUUCAGCUUUUUAUUAAACCAAUCAGAAGGCACCUUGGCAAAAACACAUUUUCACAGUAUAAACAAAUAUUCUGCAAUACUUUUCUUUGUGUGUAUUUAUGUAUUCUUAUAUAUGUUGUUUUUAUUAUAAAUAGCACUACUGUACUUUGUAGACAUUUACUAUCCCUGUGGGUGGUACGGGGCACUGAACCCAGGGCCUUGUGUAUGCUAACAAGUACUCUUACCUCUGAGCUACACCUCCAGACCUCUAUACUAUUUAAUAAUAUUUAGGUGACUAGAGAAUUGUGAUUUCAGACUUCUGUGUGCGUUAACAAUAGAGAGCUUAUUAAAAAUGGAUUUCCAGGGGUUGGGGAUUUAGCUCAGUGGUAGAGCGCUUGCCUAGCAUGCACAAGGCCCUGGGUUCAGUCCUCAGCUCCGGAAAAAAUAAAAAAAAAAAUAAUAAAAAAAAAUAAAAAAAAAAUGGAUUUCCAGGCUGGAGAGAUGGCUCAGUGGUUAAGAGCACUGACUGCUCUUCCAGAGGACCUGAGUUCAAUUCCCAGCAACCAUAUGGUGGCUCACAACUAUUGUAAUGAGAUCUGAUGCCCUCUUCUGGCCUGCAGGCAGACAUACAGGCAGAACACUGUAUACAUAAUAAAUAAAUAAAUCUUUAAAAAAUGGAUUUCCAACCUUUUCUCCAUAUUGAUAUAGUGCAUUAGAUAGCCUGUUAUGCCUAGAUCACAAGGACCCCCCAAAUCCCACCAUGGAGACCAAAUCCCAUAUGUAAAAGCAAAGAGCCUUUAUUUCAAGCUCAAGCUUGGUCUCUCUGUCUGUCCAACACAGCCGUGAGAGCAUAGGCGGGCAGGGUUUUUGUCAUAGCAGAGGUUGGGGUGAGGGGAUUUCCAGGAUUCAGGACCCUGAUUGGUUGACAUUUGUCUAGGAGUACCUUGGUCAAAAGGAGAAAUAGGUGUGUGGUAGGCUCAGGGACAUUUGGCUAUCUUAUCUAGUGGUUGGAAAGUUUGAGAUGUCAGAUUCUUCCCCUUAGAUGUUGGCCCAUCCAGGGUGGAUCUCUGGGUAGUGUCAGCUUAUGGCUUUUCCUAGAUCUGGGUGUUGCCUCCCAGUAAGCCUGUCAUGGCAGCUGUGUGGUCAAGCUGUUUUGGGUCCCCUCACAGAGUCUGCAUUUCAAAUAGUUGCCUCAAGGAUUCUGACACUAGGAAUCCAGUAACCACACUUUCAGAAAAUAUUGAAAGCUGAAAUGAUAUUGUAUUAUACUGCCUAUCUAUUUCAGUAGAGGCUAGGAGCAAUAAAGUAAGCCAUGUCUGGCUUGUUGGUGCUUCCAAAUCUUCAGAGGAGAAGGGGCAUACUAUCAUCUGGGAGAUGAGGUGGCAGGUCCUGUGAGGAAUAUAGGUAAUACCUACAGUUGGAACACUAAGAAGGGAAGCAUCCCCUCAGGGCAGAUUAUUGUGAAUACCUUCACAGAAGGUAGGUGUCUAGCUGGGCUUUGAAGAAAAGACGUUUUCAACAAAUGGGGAUGAGGUGGGUCGUUUCAAGAAGGUGGGAUAGCACUAAGUGUCAGGAAGCAAGGUCACUUUGUGGGAUACUGUGCCUGAACCGGAAAGGAAAAAAGUACAUAUAGUGGGAUUUGCACCUGGCAAGUUGGGACUCAGACUGAAUUUGGACUCUAUUGUGUGGGUACCAGUCCAUAACACGAAGAGCCAUAGGCAACUAAGGAAAUGCUGAGAGCUGGGGAAACAGUCUCCACGAAGACCACACUAAUCCAAGGCCAAA
Peromyscus californicus insignis is the source of this 10402-nucleotide long non-coding RNA. RefSeq lists it as uncharacterized. The record is from RefSeq and is a predicted model, not a curated record. NCBI's taxonomy places the organism in Eukaryota, Metazoa, Chordata, Mammalia, Rodentia, Cricetidae. The transcript has 4 exons.